Molecule: RNA transcript, 683 nt
Organism: Fragaria vesca subsp. vesca
Lineage: Eukaryota; Viridiplantae; Streptophyta; Magnoliopsida; Rosales; Rosaceae
Exons: 3
Source: RefSeq, a predicted model, not a curated record
UUUUGUAAGCAAUCCACUACCUCUCUCAAAGGACUCAAAUUCCCAUUCAGCAUAACGAUGACCCACUGUACAAACAAUCAUAUUUAGGCCUUGAAUGAAGAUUGAAGGGUUUAAGCUUCUGGGUUUGUUAAGGCCUCAAUUUCGGUCAGCGUUGCCGUCUAGAGCCGUAGAGGCGAGAAGGACUUUAUACCACAUCUUAUCAAUUAAGAUUACCCAAACCUUGCCGCCGGCAGCUGCAUCCAAUCAAUUCAAGACAAUCUUCGAUCUCCAGAGUGUGAGUCGCUUCUCUCUUACAUAUAAUCGUUGUGCGGCUUCGAAACCUUUGCAAAUCAAUAGAGACCAUCAAUGGCAAGCACCACCGAUACCAGCACAGCAGCACUCUCUUUUUCUUCAUUUUCCAUUUCUGGGCUCACACAGGGAUUUUUCUGCAAUCCUACAAUCCUGACAAUGCUAGUGAUAAUUUGUUGGAUCCAAAUGGAGAGCUAGGGGUGUAUUUGGAUGGCCUUGCGAAUGCAAGUGAUGCUCAGGUUUAUGUGAAGGAGAAUCCAAUUGGGGUGCCAUCAAUUUCAUCUGACCAUCCUGAUUGGAAUUUCUACUUCGAAGUCCUUCAAGGGUUUAAGGGAGAAAGUGAGGAAAAGACUACGUCUCAGCAACGAGAGUCUUGAGAUUUUUUCUGGAUGUGA